This 253-nucleotide ribosomal RNA is filed under the name uncultured bacterium. RNAcentral's name for it is "partial 16S ribosomal RNA". It matches the Rfam family "Bacterial small subunit ribosomal RNA", at positions 524 to 776 of the family's 1533-position model. The record is from RNAcentral.
UACAGAGGGUGCAAGCGUUAAUCGGAAUUACUGGGCGUAAAGCGUGCGUAGUCGGUUAUCUAAGUCGGGUGUGAAAUCCCCGGGCUCAACCUGGGAAUUGCAUUCGAUACUGGAUAGCUAGAGUUCGGCAGAGGGAAGCGGAAUUUCGGGUGUAGCGGUGAAAUGCGUAGAUAUCCGAAGGAACAUCAGUGGCGAAAGCGGCUUCCUGGACCAGAACUGACACAUGAGCACGAAAGCGUGGGGAGCAAACAGG